Molecule: transfer RNA, 63 nt
Filed under: human gut metagenome
Rfam family: tRNA
About the family: Transfer RNA (tRNA) molecules are approximately 80 nucleotides in length. Their secondary structure includes four short double-helical elements and three loops (D, anti-codon, and T loops). Further hydrogen bonds mediate the characteristic L-shaped molecular structure. tRNAs have two regions of fundamental functional importance: the anti-codon, which is responsible for specific mRNA codon recognition, and the 3' end, to which the tRNAs corresponding amino acid is attached (by aminoacyl-tRNA synthetases). tRNAs cope with the degeneracy of the genetic code in two manners: having more than one tRNA (with a specific anti-codon) for a particular amino acid; and 'wobble' base-pairing, i.e. permitting non-standard base-pairing at the 3rd anti-codon position.
Source: RNAcentral
CAUUAGUUCAAUGGUAGAACGUCAGCUUCCCAAGCUGAAUACGCGAGUUCGAUUCUCGUAUGG